AGAGUUUGAUCAUGGCUCAGAACGAACGCUGGUGGCAUUCCUAACACAUGCAAGUCGAACGAAGGCCCUAGCUUGCUAGGUGUCCUUAGUGGCGAACGGGUGAGUAACGCGUGGGAACCUGCCCUAGAGUGGGGAACAACCUUUGGAAACGAAGGCUAAUACCGCAUACGCUCUGAGGAGGAAAGGCUUCGGCCGCUCUUGGAUGGUCCCGCGUCUGAUUAGCUUGUUGGUGGGGUAACAGCCUACCAAGGCGACGAUCAGUAGCUGGUCUGAGAGGAUGAUCAGCCACACUGGGACUGAGACACGGCCCAGACUCCUACGGGAGGCAGCAGUGGGGAAUAUUGGACAAUGGGGGAAACCCCGAUCCAGCAAUGCCGCGUGAGUGAAGAAGGCCCUAGGGUUGUAAAACUCUUUCACUGAUGAAGAUGAUGACGGUAAUCAGAGAAGAAGCCCCGGCUAACUCCGUGCCAGCAGCCGCGGUAAUACGGAGGGGGCUAGCGUUGUUCGGAAUUACUGGGCGUAAAGCGCGCGUAGGCGGACCAAUCAGUUGGGGGUGAAAGCCCGAGGCUCAACCUCGGAACUGCCUUCAAUACUGUUGGUCUUGAGAAUGAGAGAGGAGAGUGGAAUUCCCAGUGUAGAGGUGAAAUUCGUAGAUAUUGGGAAGAACACCAGAGGCGAAGGCGGCUCUCUGGCUCAUUUCUGACGCUGAGGUGCGAAAGCGUGGGGAGCGAACAGGAUUAGAUACCCUGGUAGUCCACGCCGUAAACGAUGAGUGCUAGCUGUCGGGCAGUAUACUGUUCGGUGGCGCAGCUAACGCAUUAAGCACUCCGCCUGGGGAGUACGGUCGCAAGGUUGAAACUCAAAGGAAUUGACGGGGGGCCCGCACAAGCGGUGGAGCAAGGGGGUUUAAUUCGAUGCAACGCCGAAGAAACCUUUCCUGGGCCUUGACAUAUACCUAAACUUUCCCGACAAAGGGAUUGGUGGCCUUCCCGGAAC
This 996-nucleotide ribosomal RNA is filed under the name uncultured bacterium. Its description in RNAcentral is "bacterial SSU rRNA". It matches the Rfam family "Bacterial small subunit ribosomal RNA", at positions 8 to 1027 of the family's 1533-position model. The record is from RNAcentral.